RNAcentral lists this transfer RNA (77 nucleotides) under Burkholderiaceae bacterium. RNAcentral's name for it is "tRNA-Pro". It matches the Rfam family "tRNA". Rfam says of the family: Transfer RNA (tRNA) molecules are approximately 80 nucleotides in length. Their secondary structure includes four short double-helical elements and three loops (D, anti-codon, and T loops). Further hydrogen bonds mediate the characteristic L-shaped molecular structure. tRNAs have two regions of fundamental functional importance: the anti-codon, which is responsible for specific mRNA codon recognition, and the 3' end, to which the tRNAs corresponding amino acid is attached (by aminoacyl-tRNA synthetases). tRNAs cope with the degeneracy of the genetic code in two manners: having more than one tRNA (with a specific anti-codon) for a particular amino acid; and 'wobble' base-pairing, i.e. permitting non-standard base-pairing at the 3rd anti-codon position. Lineage: Bacteria; Pseudomonadati; Pseudomonadota; Betaproteobacteria; Burkholderiales; Burkholderiaceae. The record is from RNAcentral.
CGGGGUAUGGCGCAGCCUCGUAGCGCAUCUGCUUUGGGAGCAGAGGGUCGCGAGUUCGAAUCCCGCCGCUCCGACCA